ACAGCACAGUAUGGUGCAGUACAGUACAGUAUGGUACAGUACAGUACAUGAAAUGUUUGGUCUUAUUUUAAUUUAUUUUUUUUAAGAAGACAAAGUCAUAACUUUUCGAUAUCUGUUAUUAAUAUUUUUUAACAACGACCCGUGACGGUAGGAGACAGAUAUGAGGAAUAAAUGAAAAUGAAGUAUUUAUGGAAUAAUUUUAUGCUGUACAAAUUAGCCAAUAUUAUACCAGAUGUCAGAAGACUCUUAAAAGGCAUCGCUCUGGCAUCAGAUGCAAAAUAACUCUCUCUAUAACUCAUAAGAAUAAUUAUUUUAUUUUACACUUAGUUUGAGAUCAAAUAUUCAUCAAAACAUACUUUGUCAUGAUCUUUGUUUUCAGUUAAAACAAAGAAAAUUGUACCUUCAAUCACUUUGUUUGUGACUUGAUGUAAGAGACAUACAGUACAGUAAGCCCUCCAGCAUGUGAGGGGAAUCCAUGUUGGAGGACCUUAAUAUUUAAUGAGCUUAUUGGAAAUUGAGAACGCCAUCACAAAUUCUCAUUGGCUGACUCACAGACGUGUGGCCACCGUCGCGCCGUGCUGGCUGUGUCUCUGCCGUGAUGUCACAUCGAGAGGGAGUGGCAGUCACACAGUUACAUUAAGCCAAAACCCACCGCCUCAACACAUACAGUACACGCUCAUGUUCUUUAUUUUUCUUACUUUUUAGUUUUAUAUUAUACUUUAUUUCUGAGCCACAUUAGAGUACAGUAUUGUAAUGAUUUUUCCACAACUUUUAUGGUUUCAUUACAAGUAACACUAUACGAGGCUGUUGAGUCUGUCACUUGGCUAUAACCGCUCCCACGCGCUCACUUCUCACACGUGCACACCCUUGCUCAUCAUUUUUAUUGUUUUGCAUUACAUCUUAUUGAUUUUAAACUACAUUAGAGUAUUGUGAUUAUUUUUCCACAAUGUUUAUGGUUUCAUUGCUAGUUAACAACAUACGAGGUGGGUAGACUACCGCUGCUGCACCCUUGCCACUGUGUUACUUAUAAAAAAAAUAAUAAAUUUCUCUACUAAUAUCAUCACUUUACAGCUCUUCUCUACUCCAGCAUCACUUGGAGAUAAGCUUCCAAGACAACACAAGUCACCCAACCUGUCAUGACAGGUUCAUAUCAAAAUUUACCUUGGGAAUUAGGCAGUGGCAACACCUGGCAAAUUAUUCAGAAUUUUGAAUUAAUAGCUAAAUGCCAAGUUAAUGAGGGUUGAGUUUAUAUGUACAUAGAGUACAACAAAUCCUGUUUACACGGAGGUUAGAUUUCUGGAGAAAAAAGUGGAUAUGCAUAAUAAAUACCUUGGGUGUCUGGGCUGGGUGUCAUGACUGACCACAAGAAAGGUAAAUCAGUAUAGAUGUAGCCCAUUAUAGAUGAAUGUCCCCCAUCACUUUAGUUUUCUUCUAAAGAUACCUUUCUCUGUACUUUCAUAACAUUAUACAAGAAAUAACCUUUCCAUCGCUACUAUACAUGGCACUCUAAAAAUAAGAACAAAAAAAAAUAGUAAUGUUUAACUCUUAUUUUAAUUUUACACAUACAGUACUACCGAACUGUACUGAUGUGGGAGGCCUGGUGGGGCCAGGGAGCAGGUGUUCAUACAGUGAAAGCAUGUGUGAGGUUGUGAAGGAGCAGCCAGGGUAUACAAGGAGUGAACAAUACAAACUCUGGCAAGAAAAACCAUAAAUUUGGUGAUGAUUUAUUGAGAGGUGGGGGCUGUUCUUCUCAGCCUUGCAUCAACUGACACAUCUCUGAGCAUCAAGAAGUCAUCAUUGGUUUUAGCUCAGCUGAAGUAAUUCACAUAUGCAAUUUAAAUUGCUUUUGUACGAUAACAUUGUGGAAAAAAACAAGUUGCAAUAAUCAAAUAAUUUGGUCAUACAAAUUGAACUGGUAAAAGAAAAAAAAAAUGAGAAUUUGCACCAAAUGUGGACUACCUGGGCACUAUCUCUUGUUCUUUUUGGUUAACAGUUUUCAUUUAUAUUGUUAACACUUUAAAGUCACAAGUUACCAACAUCUACACCUUGAACCUCACACACUAUUGUACUGUACUCUAGGCCAUUUACUGCUUCUUGUUGUUGUUACUUGUUUUAUCAUUUAUGGUCACUUAAAAUUUGCAGUUGUAACUUCCCCUCAUAAUAUUUUUGACUGUACUGUAACUUGUUUGUUGUCACACAUACAGUUUAUUUUUGUAUUAGAGACAUAUACGUACAUAGAGAUCCUGGGCCAUUUUGACCCCCAUCAAAUAGCAGUAGCCUUGGGUGGUGCUGGUGUUGGCCCUUUGUUCACUCAUCAGCUGCCACAUCUUACACAUACAUGAAUGGCUAUCAUCCCACAGGAGAACCAAAAUAACACAUUAUCAUCUACCAUAUGCAUGUCAUUUAGGUUCCUGAUAUGGUCCACAGGAGCCAACUGGUACCCAUUAUAUUGUUACAUCCUCAUUCACUUUAUUAUUACAUUGUUUGUGUGAAGGAGAGAUCCGAGCUAUACUUCAUCUAACUGAUUGGCUUGGCUUUCAAUUUGUAACAUAUUUGUUAUGGUACAAUACAGUAUACUGUACAGUACUCUUAGUUUUAGGAGUGGGUAAACAUCAUCUCUCAACUCAUAUCAACUGGUAAAUUUGAACGAGUGUUUACAGUGAACACCUUUAAUGUGUCCCCUAACUUUUGUUCUCUCAACAUAUCCAGUAGAGUACUGUACAGUAGUCUCAGCCUUGAUAUUGUUUCUGGGUGUACUACUGUAUUUAUGAUUUAUCUUUAGUCAACCAGGUAAUUGUGUUUGUACAUCCCCUCUUACCAAGAAUAACUUACCAUGGAUCCUGGGCGGGCAGUGUACUGUGCUGUGCUGUACUGUACUGUGCUGUACUGUGCUGUGCUGCACUGUACUGUACUGUUGUUGUCAUAGAAUAAAAUAAAAAUUAAAUCAUUAAAGUGAGAGGUGUGGUGAGGUGCAGUGAUGUCACAGGGUAGAGGUUAGGUACAGUGAUGUCACAACAGGUGAGUGUGAGGUACAGUGAUGUCACAGGUUUGAGGUAUGGGUGAGGUACAGUGAUGUCACAACAGGUUAGAGUGUGAAUAAGGUACAGUAAUGUCACAGGAUAGAGGUAUGGGUGAAGUACAGUGAUGUCACAGAGUAGAGGUGAGGUACAGUGAUGUCACAGGGUAGAGGUGAGGUACAGUGAUGUCACAGGGUAGAGGAGUGGGUGAGGUACAGUGAUGUCACAGGGUAGAGGUGUGGUUGAGGUACAGUGAUGUCACAGGAUAGAGGUAUGGGUGAGGUACAGUGAUGUCACAGGUUAGAGGAGUGGGUGAGGUACAGUGAUGUCACAGGUUAGAGGUGUGGGUGAGGUACAGUGAUGUCACAGGUUAAGAGUGGGUGAAGUACCAUGAUGUCACAGGGUAGAGAGUGGGUGAGGUACAGUGAUGUCACAGGUUAGAGGAGUGGGUGAGGUACAGUGAUGUCACAGCAGGUGAGGUACAGUGAUGUCACAGGUUAAGAGUGGGUGAAGUACAGUGAUGUCACAGGGUAGGGAGUGGGUGAGGUACAGUGAUGUCACAACAGGUUAGAGUGUGAAUAAGGUACAGUGAUGUCACAGGAUAGAGGUGUGGUUGAGGUACAGUGAUGUCACAGGAUAGAGGUGUGGUUGAGGUACAGUGAUGUCACAGGAGGAGGUGUGGGUGAGGUACAGUGAUGUCACAGGAUAGAGGUGUGGUUGAGGUACAGCGAUGUCACAGGAUAGAGGUGUGGUUGAGGUACAGUGAUGUCACAGCAGGUGAGGUACAGUGAUGUCACAGGUUAAGAGUGGGUGAAGUACCAUGAUGUCACAGGGUAGAGGAGUGGGUGAGGUACAGUGAUGUCACAGGUUAGAGGUGGGUGAGGUACAGAUGUCACAUGGUAGAGGUGAGAGGUGAGGUACAGUGAUGUCACAUGGUAGAGGAGGUGAGAGGUGAGGUACAGUGAUGUCACAUGGUAGAGGUGAGAGGUGAGGUACAGUGAUGUCACAUGGUAGAGGUGGUGAUAU
RNAcentral lists this long non-coding RNA (4043 nucleotides) under Homarus americanus (American lobster). RNAcentral's name for it is "uncharacterized LOC121867917". Lineage: Eukaryota; Metazoa; Arthropoda; Malacostraca; Decapoda; Nephropidae. The record is from RNAcentral.